UAGCUGCAGAUACACGACUAUAUAACCCCUCUAAUACUCAGCCCACACAGUCAAGCUGACCAGUUAUCCACUGAAGAAAGGCAGAUCAGAGAAGCUGAACUGUUUCCAUUGAAGAUCAACAUCUCUCUGUGGAAAAGUUCUGACAUAGGAAACUUCACAGGGAAAUAUUGCUAGAAGCCAACGGAACAAUAGCAGCAUAAAGAGAGCGGAAAGAAGGUUUGUUAGAAGAAAGGAUCGGCGUAAAAGACAGGAUUGGGGGUCGGUUAUGUUGGCGGAGGCCACAGUGAUGUGCGGUGUGGGGGGUGCGGGUACAGCUGACCUGGAGUGUAGCGUCCUGGAGGAGGACUGGCAGACAGGCCAGAGCUACGUGGCUCACUGGCACAGCCUCACCUUCGUACCACAGCAUCACCAACGUCCAGUGAUGGAGGCCGAGCGCUCUGGAAACCACUGGGAGGCCAGGAGGCUCCUCCAGAGAUUCCUCUCGGGUGCCAUUAGCAAGAAUUACCCACAUCCCAAAACACACCUGACCAGACGACCCCAUCAGUCCCUAUCCGACCCCUCUGCCCGGGAUCAUAAACAGAAGGAAGAGUGUUGUGUGACAACAAGAGCAAAGAGCGUCAGAGACGAGUGAGAGGAAGUCGAAGGUGGCAACGUUGCUUGGAUUCCUGGGCUUUAUAAACAUAUUCAAUAUUUCAACAAAUCCAAAAUAUUCUAUUGUACCCACUUUUCCAGUUUAUUUAAUUAGUGAUAGAUUUGUGAUGUGUUUGGAAUAAAUUCCAAUUAAAAGGUAUCUGGGUUUUUUUGCUAAAAGCAUGACAUAUACAAAUCGAUGUAUUUUAUUUAGUUUUUGAGGAAAUUGAAACUGUCUAAGAAAUAUUCAAUCAUUAGAAUGAAACAUUUUGAUUUACGCUCACACUGCGAUACGUUGUUGAUAUUUUCAGGCUGUAGGUUUUGUAUGACAGUUUUAUCUUCAUUAUAUCUGUGUCAAGAUAGAUUUGUAUACAAAAUGUGACACUUGUGGAGAAGACUGAGGUAAAGAUUGAACUUUCAUGUAUUUAAUUUAGAUUAUAAUGAUCAGUUUUCUGUUAAUCUGAAAAAUAAAUAAAAUUGAGGAUCUAUA
This is a long non-coding RNA of Pseudoliparis swirei, 1120 nucleotides long. RefSeq lists it as uncharacterized. The record is from RefSeq and is a predicted model, not a curated record. NCBI's taxonomy places the organism in Eukaryota, Metazoa, Chordata, Actinopteri, Perciformes, Liparidae. The transcript has 3 exons.